UCAUUAAAUCAGCUAUUAUUUCUUAGACCAUAUACAUUUACUUGGAUAACUGUAGUAAUUCUAGAGCUAAUACAUGAAACAAUGCCUCAGUCUUAAUUGAUUGGGUGCGGAUUUAUUAGAACAAAACCAACCAAUUAUUGCUAGUUUAUUGCUAGUAUUAAUUGAAAUUAUUUGGUUACUCUAGAUAACUUACCUGAUCGCAUGGCCAUGAGCCGGCGACGUAUCUUUCAAGUGUCUGACCUAUCAACUGACGUUGGUGAGUUACUUGCUCACCAUGGUUAUAACGGGUAACGGGGAAUCAGGGUUCGAUUCCGGAGAGGGAGCCUUAGAAAUGGCUACCACAUCUAAGGAAGGCAGCAGGCGCGCAAAUUACCCACUCUCAGCAAGAGGAGGUAGUGACGAUAAAUAACAAUGCAGGACUCAUUAUGAGGCUCUGCAAUUGGAAUGAGUACAAUCUAAAUCCUUUAACGAGUACCAAUUGGAGGGCAAGUCUGGUGCCAGCAGCCGCGGUAAUUCCAGCUCCAAUAGCGUAUAUUAAAAUUGUUGCAGUUAAAAAGCUCGUAGUUGGAUCUCAGGUAAAAUGUAUCAGUAUGAUCUAUGAUCAUUACUGUUAUACAUUUGCCUUUAAUAAAAGUCGUAUGACUUAAUGUGGUUCUCUUAAAUGAGUGCUACAUAUAAAGCUCGACACGUUUACCUUGAAAAAAUCAGAGUGCUUAAAGCAGGCCUUUGUGCUUGAAUGUUGUUGCAUGGAAUAAUGGAAUAGGACUUCGGUUCUAUUUUGUUGGUUUUCGGAAUCUGAAGUAAUGAAAAAUAGAGACAGACGGGGGCAUUUCUAUGGCUGUGUUAGAGGUGAAAUUCUGAGAUCGCAGCCAGAGAAACUACUGCGAAAGCAUUUGCCAAGCAUGUCUUCAUUAAUCAAGAACGAAAGUCAGAGGUUCGAAGACGAUCAGAUACCGUCCUAGUUCUGACCUUAAACGAUGCCGACCGAUAAUCAGGAGUGGUUAUAGUUUUAAUAUUGACCCUCCUGGCUGUCCCUGGGAAACCUUCAGUUAGGUUCUGGGGGGAUUAUGGUCACAAGGUCGAAACUUAAAGGAAUUGACGGAAGGGCACCACCAGGAGUGGAGCCUGCGGCUUAAUUUGACUCAACACGGGGAAACUCACCCGGUCCGGACACUGUUAGGAUGGACAGAUUGAUAGCUCUUUCUUGAUUCAGUGGGUGGUGGUGCAUGGCCGUUCUUAGUUGGUGGAGUGAUUUGUCUGGUUAAUUCCGAUAACGAACGAGACUCUGUCCUGCUAACUAGUCCUGUAGCAUCUGCCACUCAUUAUGUAUGGGUUUGGCUACAGCUACAGCUGACUUCUUAGAGGGAUUCGCGGUACUCUCAAGCCGCACGAAAUAGAGCAAUAACAGGUCUGUGAUGCCCUUAGAUGUCCGGGGCCGCACGCGCGCUACAUUGACAGUAUCAGUAAGUAUUUACACCUGGUCUGAAAAGAUUGGGAAAUCUUUGAAUUACUGUCUCCUCAGGGAUUGAGGUUUGCAACUAUCCCUCAUGAACGAGGAAUUCCCAGUAGGCGCAAGUCAUCAGCUUGCGUCGAUUACGUCCCUGCCCUUUGUACACACCGCCCGUCGCUACUACCGAUUGAGUGGAUUAGUGAGGCCCUCGGAUUGAAAGCUUUAUGAUUAUAUAUAUAUAUAUGAUCAUUUUGUUUUUAAAAAGUGGGUCAAACUUGUUCAUUUAGAGGAAGUAAAAGUCGU
Molecule: ribosomal RNA, 1753 nt
Filed under: Parapharyngiella sp. NVS-2017
Lineage: Eukaryota; Metazoa; Platyhelminthes; Rhabdocoela; Trigonostomidae
Description: SSU rRNA
Rfam family: Eukaryotic small subunit ribosomal RNA
Source: RNAcentral